This 496-nucleotide ribosomal RNA is filed under the name uncultured bacterium. Its description in RNAcentral is "partial 16S ribosomal RNA". It matches the Rfam family "Bacterial small subunit ribosomal RNA", at positions 28 to 506 of the family's 1533-position model. The record is from RNAcentral.
GAUGAACGCUGGCGGCGUGCCUAAUACUUGCAAGUCGAGCGAACAGAUGAGGAGCUUGCUCCUCUGACGUUAGCGGCGGACGGGUGAGUAACACGUGGAUAACCUACCUAUAAGACUGGGAUAACUUCGGGAAACCGGAGCUAAUACCGGAUAAUAUAUUGAACCGCAUGGUUCAAUAGUGAAAGACGGUUUUGCUGUCACUUAUAGAUGGAUCCGCGCCGCAUUAGCUAGUUGGUAAGGUAACGGCUUACCAAGGCAACGAUGCGUAGCCGACCUGAGAGGGUGAUCGGCCACACUGGAACUGAGACACGGUCCAGACUCCUACGGGAGGCAGCAGUAGGGAAUCUUCCGCAAUGGGCGAAAGCUUGACGGAGCAACGCCGCGUGAGUGAUGAAGGUCUUCGGAUCGUAAAACUCUGUUAUUAGGGAAGAACAAAUGUGUAAGUAACUAUGCACGUCUUGACGGUACCUAAUCAGAAAGCCACGGCUAACUACGU